Molecule: ribosomal RNA, 492 nt
Filed under: uncultured bacterium
Lineage: Bacteria
Description: partial 16S ribosomal RNA
Rfam family: Bacterial small subunit ribosomal RNA
Source: RNAcentral
AGUGAACGCUUGCGGUAGGCCUAACACAUGCAAGUCGAACGGCAGCACAGUAAGAGCUUGCUCUUACGGGUGGCGAGUGGCGGACGGGUGAGGAAUACAUCGGAAUCUACUUUUUCGUGGGUGAUAACGUAGGGAAACUUACGCUAAUACCGCAUACUUCCUACGGGUGAAAGCAGGGGAUCUUCGGACCUUGCGCGAUUGAAUGAGCCGAUGUCGGAUUAGCUAGUUGGCGGGGUAAAGGCCCACCAAGGCGACGAUCCGUAGCUGGUCUGAGAGGAUGAUCAGCCACACUGGAACUGAGACACGGUCCAGACUCCUACGGGAGGCAGCAGUGGGGAAUAUUGGACAAUGGGCGAAAGCCUGAUGCAGCCAUACCGCGUGAGUGAAGGAGGCCUUCGGGUUGUAAAGCCCUUUUGUUGGGAAAGAAAAGCAGCAGGUUAAUACCCCGCUGUUCUGACGGUACCCAAAGAAUAAGCACCGGCUAACUUCGUG